Molecule: ribosomal RNA, 500 nt
Filed under: uncultured bacterium
Lineage: Bacteria
Description: partial 16S ribosomal RNA
Rfam family: Bacterial small subunit ribosomal RNA
Source: RNAcentral
AUUGAACGCUGGCGGAAUGCUUUACACAUGCAAGUCGAACGGCAGCACGGACUUCGGUCUGGUGGCGAGUGGCGAACGGGUGAGUAAUGUAUCGGAACGUGCCCAGUCGUGGGGGAUAACGUAGUGAAAAUUACGCUAAUACCGCAUACGAUCUAUGGAUGAAAGCGGGGGAUCGCAAGACCUCGCGCGAUUGGAGCGGCCGAUAUCAGAUGAGGUAGUUGGUGGGGUAAAGGCCCACCAAGCCAACGAUCUGUAGCUGGUCUGAGAGGACGACCAGACACACUGGAACUGAGAAACGAUCCAGACUCCUACGGGAGGCAGCGGUGGGGAAUUUUGGACAAUGGGCGAAGGCCUGAUCCAGCCAUUCCGCGUGCAGGAUGAAGGCCCUCGGGUUGUAAACUGCUUUUGUACAGAACGAAAAGGUUUCUACUAAUACUAGGAGCUCAUGACGGUACUGUAAGAAUAAGCACCGGCUAACUACGUGCCAGCCGCCGCCGUAA